This 272-nucleotide ribosomal RNA is filed under the name Escherichia coli. RNAcentral describes it as "partial 16S ribosomal RNA". It matches the Rfam family "Bacterial small subunit ribosomal RNA", at positions 1 to 267 of the family's 1533-position model. The record is from RNAcentral. Lineage: Bacteria; Pseudomonadati; Pseudomonadota; Gammaproteobacteria; Enterobacterales; Enterobacteriaceae.
UUAAAUUGAAGAGUUUGAUCAUGGCUCAGAUUGAACGCUGGCGGCAGGCCUAACACAUGCGAGUCGAACGGUAACAGGAAGGAGAUUGCUGCUUUGCUGACGAGUGGCGGACAGGUGAGUAAUGUCUGGGAAACUGCCUGAUGGAGGGGGAUAACUACUGGAAACGGUAGCUAAUACCGCAUAACGUCGCAAGACCAAAGAGGGGGACCUUAGGGCCUCUUGCCAUCGGAUGUGCCCAGAUGGGAUUAGCUAGUAGGUGGGGUAACGGCUCA